GGAGGGUGCAAGCGUUGUUCGGAAUUACUGGGCGUAAAGGGCGUGUAGGCGGUGGAGUAUGUCCGACGUGAAAGCCCUCGGCUUAACCGGGGAAUGGCAUUGGAAACUACUUCACUUGAGUGCGAGAGAGGAUGGCGGAAUUCCUAGUGUAGAGGUGAAAUUCGUAGAUACUAGGAGGAACACCUGAGGCGAAGGCGGCCAUCUGGCUCGUAACUGACGCUGAGACGCGACAGCGUGGGGAGCAAACAGGGAUUAGAUACCCUGGUAGUCCACGCCGUAAACGAUGAUCACUAGAUGUUGGAAGUAUUGACCCUUUCAGCGUCGCAGCUAACGCAUUAAGUGAUCCGCCUGGGAGUACGGCCGCAAGGCUA
This 371-nucleotide ribosomal RNA is filed under the name uncultured organism. Its description in RNAcentral is "partial 16S ribosomal RNA". It matches the Rfam family "Bacterial small subunit ribosomal RNA", at positions 527 to 896 of the family's 1533-position model. The record is from RNAcentral.